AGAGUUUGAUCAUGGCUCAGGAUGAACGCUAGCUACAGGCUUAACACAUGCAAGUCGAGGGGAAACGAUAGAGAAAGCUUGCUUUUUCUAGGCGUCGACCGGCGCACGGGUGAGUAACGCGUAUCCAACCUGCCCACCACUUGGGGAUAACCUUGCGAAAGUAAGACUAAUACCCAAUGACGUCUCUAGAAGACAUCUGAAAGGGAUUAAAGAUUUAUCGGUGAUGGAUGGGGAUGCGUCUGAUUAGCUUGUUGGCGGGGUAACGGCCCACCAAGGCAACGAUCAGUAGGGGUUCUGAGAGGAAGGUCCCCCACAUUGGAACUGAGACACGGUCCAAACUCCUACGGGAGGCAGCAGUGAGGAAUAUUGGUCAAUGGGCGAGAGCCUGAACCAGCCAAGUAGCGUGCAGGAUGACGGCCCUAUGGGUUGUAAACUGCUUUUAUAAGGGAAUAAAGUGAGCCUCGUGAGGCUUUUUGCAUGUACCUUAUGAAUAAGGACCGGCUAAUUCCGUGCCAGCAGCCGCGGUAAUACGGAAGGUCCGGGCGUUAUCCGGAUUUAUUGGGUUUAAAGGGAGCGUAGGCCGGAGAUUAAGCGUGUUGUGAAAUGUAGAUGCUCAACAUCUGCACUGCAGCGCGAACUGGUUUCCUUGAGUACGCACAAAGUGGGCGGAAUUCGUGGUGUAGCGGUGAAAUGCUUAGAUAUCACGAAGAACUCCGAUUGCGAAGGCAGCUCACUGGAGCGCAACUGACGCUGAAGCUCGAAAGUGCGGGUAUCGAACAGGAUUAGAUACCCUGGUAGUCCGCACGGUAAACGAUGGAUGCCCGCUGUUGGUCUGAAUAGGUCAGCGGCCAAGCGAAAGCAUUAAGCAUCCCACCUGGGGA
Molecule: ribosomal RNA, 881 nt
Filed under: uncultured bacterium
Lineage: Bacteria
Description: bacterial SSU rRNA
Rfam family: Bacterial small subunit ribosomal RNA
Source: RNAcentral